Molecule: long non-coding RNA, 735 nt
Organism: Sorghum bicolor (sorghum)
Lineage: Eukaryota; Viridiplantae; Streptophyta; Magnoliopsida; Poales; Poaceae
Exons: 2
Source: RefSeq, a predicted model, not a curated record
AGACGGCGCGUUUAUUCCACGCAACACCGUCUUCUCUUCCAGAACCCUCUCAUCUCCGCGUGCGGCGGCGCGAUUCCUUGCUUUUUUUUUUUUCCUUCGACUUCGAGAGGCUGUGAUUGUUCUUGAGUCGGAUCCGGGUAACGGAUUCGAGUUUGCGCCGGGCUUCUUCGGCUCCAGGUACUUCCAAUCGAUAUGGGGAACACUGCAUCUGUGCAAACUGAGGCUUCAGAUUCAGCGCAGCAACCUGCCACAACAGCUUCUGCACCUGAGACGAAGCCGAAAAAGAAGAUCUGUUGCGCUUGCCCAGAUACAAAAAAGCUGAGAGACGACUGCAUCGUGCAGAAUGGUGAGGAUGCCUGUGGAAAGUUCAUCGAAGCUCACCUGCAAUGCCUGAGAGCCGAAGGGUUCAGUGUCUGACACGUUACUCCAUCAUGGCAACUCCACACCUGUUUCUGUGGUAGUCCGAUUUUGAUCAUGAACAGCAUAUGAUGAAUAAGAACUUCUGGUAGAGUGAUAGGAAGAACUCAGUUUUAUUUCUAGACUGUAAAGGGAAAAAAUUCCCCCUGAACAUUGCCAGUUUGCAAGAGGGUUUGUGCCUUUUUCCAAGGCAUUUUGUGCCACACAUAUCUGCAAUUCUUGAUGAUACUGGUUGGAGAUUGAGCACUACACCGUAUGGAACCUAGAGCUUUCAAUGACUUGUUCUAGUGAUGUAUGAAUGAAGAAGAUAUUACCCUA